AAAAGUCACUGAAGAUAGUUCUGGCAACCCAGCAGCAUGGAAACUCACUGGAGGGCGCAGUGAUGAUCUGAUACUUUGGCUGAAUCCCGAACCGGAGUUUUGACCUUUCUGAAAGGGACGUGGCAAAGCAGAAGCCCAGAGACCUUGGCAUCCACAGCCGUGAAUAAUUGCCUUUUGGCACCUACUGAAUCUAUGAACCAGGCUACCUCUGUUAAUUCUUUCAUGAGUUUUGUUUUCUUUGUUGAAAAGUUGAGAAUGGGACUAUUGACUUGCAUUCUUCGCAGGACCCGGUGAUGCAGUGUAAUUCAGCAGCUGGUACUGGAAGGACCUGGGUUCAAAUCUCAGCCUUGCCACUUACCAGCUGUGUGACCUGGGGCAAGUUACUAAAUCUCUCUGUGCCUUGGCUUUCUCACCUGUAAACUGGAGAUAACGGAGUGCAAAAUAGACUGAAGACUGUGAGGUCUGGAGACAAGGUUUACUAGUGAACUCUUGCAUUCGAACAAGCACUGAAUUGCUAACAAACUAAUCCAAUCCUCCAUUAAGAGCAUUGGUCACAGGGUAUGAAUGAAUGCUUAGCUCUGUGCGAGGAACGACUAGGGAUACAGGGGAACAGAAAACCUGAUUUACGCCCGGAGAUACCAACAAUCCCAUGAGAGGAGACCAGUUGUACCUAGGUGAAACAAGACAACAAAAUCAAGGGUGUGAUGAUUCAAUGCAAAUUCAGGCAGAAGGCUCAGGAGGUACACCCUGCCCAGAGGUGAAGUGCGGCCAGCUAGCUUCUUGGGUACAUUUGUGUAUUUGAUAACCUGUUUGGAAUUAGCCAUACAUUUCCGUCCGCUGGGGCAGGCCAGUCCUAGCCAGGACUCAUAUGUCCUCCGAUGAAACAUUAUUUUGGGGACUGGUGGCUGGCAACCCCUGACCUGGCUUCUGUUCUGCUGGCCCCAUUGGCUGGCUCAUUUCCAGCCUCCGCUUUC
Molecule: long non-coding RNA, 974 nt
Filed under: Bos indicus x Bos taurus (hybrid cattle)
Lineage: Eukaryota; Metazoa; Chordata; Mammalia; Artiodactyla; Bovidae
Description: lncRNA (ENSBIXG00000006712.1)
Source: RNAcentral